Long non-coding RNA from Bos taurus (domestic cattle), 1435 nucleotides. The record is from Ensembl. NCBI's taxonomy places the organism in Eukaryota, Metazoa, Chordata, Mammalia, Artiodactyla, Bovidae.
GCGAUACCUGGCUCCUGGGGUUUUCCCCAAAGCAGAGCCGCCACCGUGAUGACUUGCCGGGAAGCCUUCAAGGAGUCACUACUCCCAGACAGGUGGUUUGGGACAAUGUUCCCAGCAGCUGCUGAGACCACUUUUGGGGGGAGAGUCUCCCUGUCUCUCCCCUGCGCAGCACUGGCGGCAGUGUAUGCUUCUCCUUGGUGGAAUGGAAUCAUGCCUCUGGACAAGCUGACAAGCCCCGUGACCCAGGUUUUGUUUUGUUUUGUUUUGUUUUUUUGCAGAGUGGGAUGCAGAAGUGACUCGAGGUCAGGAGCUUGUUCUCCUGUCUCCACAAUGGCUCCCUGUUGAGAAAAUACUCGGUGUCCCAGAGGCAGAGUGGAGAGAGGAACAGGUGUGCUGGCAAGGACAGAAUGCCACGCAGGAUCCAUGGGGAGACUUUCUGCAGGCCAGCUUCCAGUCUGUUCCCGGUGUCGUUCGUCUUCGAACAAGCUCACGCUCUAUUUGUGGCAGGUGGCAGAAGCACAAGAAGCCCAGCUACAGGGAAGCACGGUUAAAGCCUCUGCUCACGUCAUCUUUGCUCACAUCCUAUUGGCCAGAGCAAGUCACAUGGCCAACAUCAACUGGACCAGGAUGUAAAUUUCUCCCACGGAAGUUGAGAGAAGCCAGGACAAGGGCCAGGAAGGAAGGUGGGCAAAGAAUCCAGCUGCCAAUACAAAAGCUUCAGGAGACACACUUUCGGUCCCUGGGUCAAGAAGAUCCCCCUGGAGGAGGAAAUGGCAACCUACUCCAGUAUUCUUGUCAAGAUAAUCCCAUGGACAGAAGGUCCUGGCAGGCUACAGCUUCCACAUAACAUUGAGCAAAGUUUGAGAAAAACAGCGACAUGGCAAGAGAAAGAGCGCGAGGUUAGAGACUUUGUCUUUCCAAGGCUGAUGGUAUGAUCCUCCUGCCAUGAAGCCACCUGUUGGUGUCUCUCUGCCUAAAGACCACAGUUCCGUAAUCCACGCCUCCCUCGCAGUGCCGCACUCCAGCCCUCAGGAACUCUGAAAGGAGGCUGCCCAACUGCCACUUCCCUGUGGAGGUCUUCUCCUGCCAGAGGUCUCGCCUACAGGAUCUCUCAUCACCUUUGUGUAUCACCUGCGGAGUCUCACCGCAAUCUGUCAACCUUAUUUGCUUAAAUCCGUCCACCCCACUAGAAGAUGAGCUUCCCAAAGAGCAGGACCUCUGGUCUUUCUUCAGGGCCCUGAAGCUGGUGGAUCCCGACUGAAACUCUCGGACUGAAUGACAGCUCAGAGUCCAUCAGAUAUUGAGCAGACUCCCUUUCCCCCCAGCCCCGCCCCCAGCUUUCUUCACCGGAAAUCAUUUCAAAAUCAUUCAUUUUGGAAAUAAGGCUUCUAGGGCUUCGACCGCACCCACCCACCUACGUUCCAACGGUUAGAAC